AAUAGAUACCGGGUAGUCCACGCCGUAAACGAUGAAUACUAGGUGUAGGGGUUGUCAUGACCUCUGUGCCGCCGCAAACGCAUUAAGUAUUCCGCCUGGGGAGUACGGUCGCAAGAUUAAAACUCAAAGGAAUUGACGGGGGCCCGCACAAGCAGCGGAGCAUGUGGUUUAAUUCGAAGCAACGCGAAGAACCUUACCUAGACUUGACAUCUCCUGAAUUACUCUUAAUCGAGGAAGUCCCUUCGGGGACAGGAAGACAGGUGGUGCAUGGUUGUCGUCAGCUCGUGUCGUGAGAUGUUGGGUUAAGUCCCGCAACGAGCGCAACCCUUAUUGUUAGUUGCUACCAUUAAGUUGAGCACUCUAGCAAGACUGCCCGGGUUAACCGGGAGGAAGGUGGGGAUGACGUCAAAUCAUCAUGCCCCUUAUGUCUAGGGCUACACACGUGCUACAAUGGCAAGUGCAAAAGAUGCAGUACCGCAAGGUGGAGCUAAACUUAAAAACUUGUCUCAGUUCGGAUUGUAGGCUGAAACUCGCCUACA
Molecule: ribosomal RNA, 539 nt
Filed under: uncultured bacterium
Lineage: Bacteria
Description: bacterial SSU rRNA
Rfam family: Bacterial small subunit ribosomal RNA
Source: RNAcentral